RNAcentral lists this unclassified non-coding RNA (354 nucleotides) under uncultured fungus. RNAcentral's name for it is "sequence contains ITS1". The stretch from base 1 to 105 matches the Rfam family "5.8S ribosomal RNA", at positions 50 to 154 of the family's 154-position model. Lineage: Eukaryota; Fungi. The record is from RNAcentral.
GAAAUGCGAUACGUAAUGUGAAUUGCAGAAUUCCGUGAAUCAUCGAAUCUUUGAACGCAUCUUGCGCUUCUUGGUAUUCCAGGAAGCAUGCCUGUUUGAGUCUCAGUUGACUCUCUGACCGCUUCGGCGGCCAGGAUCUGAGCGGACCAGCGGUUAACCGCUCGCCGCUCUAAACGCAUGCAGCCGGCCUCUAGAGUGUUGGACUCGGAAUGGCUUGAUAAUGUCUUUGACUUAUUAGUUAUCCGGAUUCAGCGUCUCCUUAGGCCAAGGCGCCAGAUUGUCUGUGCCUGCGAAAGCGGUACUCACACUCGACACCUUGAGCUCAAAUCAGGCAAGACUACCCGCUGAACUUAA